Molecule: long non-coding RNA, 400 nt
Filed under: Equus asinus (donkey)
Lineage: Eukaryota; Metazoa; Chordata; Mammalia; Perissodactyla; Equidae
Description: lncRNA (ENSEASG00005025809.1)
Source: RNAcentral
GUGGUCGGCGCUUGGAGGCGGGGCCGCAGCGGCCAGCCCCUCCCCCAGGGCCCUCAGAGCCGGCGGCGGCGGCGGCGGCAGUUGGGCGUCAGCGGACUUGGCAGCGGGGACGUUGGCGGCAGCGGCCCCUCAGAGCCUGGACCCUGGUGAGGGCGCCGACCCCGGUCGUGUGUGGCAGGCGACAGUCGCGGGCGCUGAGCAGGGACCAGACUCCGCUCGCGCUCCUCGUCCUGAACGCGCUGACUGACUGGAAGGUGUCGCCGCCCCGCGUGCCCCCUGAGGAGGAUGUGCAGGAUCCUGGGCCCAGUCUGUGCUGACUCAGCAGGCCUCAGUGUCUGGGAAUCUGGGCCAGAGGGUCACCAUCUCCUGCACUGGAAGCAGCUCCGACAUCAGUGAUUAU